RNAcentral lists this ribosomal RNA (134 nucleotides) under uncultured eukaryote. RNAcentral's name for it is "partial 18S ribosomal RNA". It matches the Rfam family "Eukaryotic small subunit ribosomal RNA", at positions 1299 to 1458 of the family's 1831-position model. The record is from RNAcentral.
UGGUGGAGCGAUUUGUCUGGUUAAUUCCGAUAACGAACGAGACUCUGACCUACUAAAUAGUUGGCAGUUCAGUACGACUGCAAAACUUCUUAGAGGGACUAGCGGUGCUAACCGCACGAGAUUGAGCAAUAACA